RNAcentral lists this ribosomal RNA (929 nucleotides) under uncultured bacterium. RNAcentral describes it as "bacterial SSU rRNA". It matches the Rfam family "Bacterial small subunit ribosomal RNA", at positions 56 to 979 of the family's 1533-position model. The record is from RNAcentral.
UGCAAGUCGAGCGGGGAAUGGUAGCUUGCUACCUGACCUAGCGGCGGACGGGUGAGUAAUGCUUAGGAAUCUGCCUAUUAGUGGGGGACAACAUUCCGAAAGGAAUGCUAAUACCGCAUACGCCCUACGGGGGAAAGCAGGGGAUCUUCGGACCUUGCGCUAAUAGAUGAGCCUAAGUCAGAUUAGCUAGUUGGUGGGGCAAAGGCCUACCAAGGCGACGAUCUGUAGCGGGUCUGAGAGGAUGAUCCGCCACACUGGGACUGAGACACGGCCCAGACUCCUACGGGAGGCAGCAGUGGGGAAUAUUGGACAAUGGGCGCAAGCCUGAUCCAGCCAUGCCGCGUGUGUGAAGAAGGCCUUUUGGUUGUAAAGCACUUUAAGCGAGGAGGAGGCUACUGAGAUUAAUACUCUUGGAUAGUGGACGUUACUCGCAGAAUAAGCACCGGCUAACUCUGUGCCAGCAGCCGCGGUAAUACAGAGGGUGCGAGCGUUAAUCGGAUUUACUGGGCGUAAAGCGUGCGUAGGCGGCUUUUUAAGUCGGAUGUGAAAUCCCUGAGCUUAACUUAGGAAUUGCAUUCGAUACUGGGAAGCUAGAGUAUGGGAGAGGAUGGUAGAAUUCCAGGUGUAGCGGUGAAAUGCGUAGAGAUCUGGAGGAAUACCGAUGGCGAAGGCAGCCAUCUGGCCUAAUACUGACGCUGAGGUACGAAAGCAUGGGGAGCAAACAGGAUUAGAUACCCUGGUAGUCCAUGCCGUANACGAUGUCUACUAGCCGUUGGGGCCUUUGAGGUUUUAGUGGCGCAGCUAACGCGAUAAGUAGACCGCCUGGGGAGUGCGGUCGCAAGACUAAAACUCAAAUGAAUUGACGGGGGCCCGCACAAGCGGUGGAGCAUGUGGUUUAAUUUCGAUGCACGCGAAGAACCUUACCUGGU